UCCCUUACACAUUUAAUGAUAACCUCAAAAUAGCCACUGCAAUUUCUGAAUUUAGUAAAUUGUCCAGAGAACAGACACCAAAGUAACACUUGAAUUUACUUAAAACUGAUGAUUAUAUGAUUUAUUUUCUAAUUUCUAAAUUUGUAUUAACAACUUUACACCACAAUGAAAAGUGAAAGACGCUUUUGGCUGUGGACAGCGACUGUGUUGUUAUUGUGUUUUCCAACCAAAGCUGAUUUGGAAAUUGAAAUCCUAAUAUAUCAUAUGUUAAAACAAAGGCAUUGCUACCCCAACCUCAAGGUGGACCGCGAUCUAUGCGUUGAAUAUAACAUAUAUGCCAAAGUAUGUUGAUUAAUUUCCCACUUUGUUGGACAUUCGUUUAAAGCUGUCAAACAAAAUUUAGGAACUGGUAACAUAAGAUUCCUUAGAUCGCACGGAUUCAAAAGUAUAUGGGAAAAAUGUGUGCAUCAACCAAAAAAAGACUUUAUAGGAAAGUUAUGCAGUGAAGGCACCUGUACGAAUUAAAUAAACUAAUACACCAAAAGAAUAAAAAGUCACUAGAUAUAAGACUGAUGAAAAUUGACGGAUUGUUAAUUCAUGUGCCGUCGGCAGUUAGCUUAGACCUCUUCGAACAUAACGUUAGCCUAGGAAAUGCACUCUUGAUUAACUUGGUUGCUUAUAGUCUGAUCUUUAUGAAAUUUUCAGGCCAUAAAUAUGAUAUAGAAAAGCCGGGAUACCCCAAAGCGCAAGGAUGUAACUGCAAAAGCUGGAUCAUCUUAGCUCCUCGGUUAGUGAAGAAUAUACUUUAUGGGAUCGAAGAUGAUUCUUUCAUCUGUUCAAAAUUAAAAUUAAAAUAGCCGACCGUGGUUAAUUUAGAUAUUUGAACUUUCCAGAGAAAAUGUGCUAAAAGACGACAUCAAAGUAAUCACUUG
Molecule: long non-coding RNA, 932 nt
Organism: Drosophila novamexicana
Lineage: Eukaryota; Metazoa; Arthropoda; Insecta; Diptera; Drosophilidae
Exons: 3
Source: RefSeq, a predicted model, not a curated record